UACGUAGGGUGCAAGCGUUUGUCCGGAAUUAUUGGGCGUAAAGAGCUCGUAGGCGGUCCGUCACGUCGGCUGUGAAAACCUGGGGCUCAACCCCGGGCCUGCAGCCGAUACGGGCGGACUAGAAUUCGGUAGGGGAGACUGGAAUUCCUGGUGUAGCGGUGAAAUGCGCAGAUAUCAGGAGGAACACCGGUGGCGAAGGCGGGUCUCUGGGCCGAUACUGACGCUGAGGAGCGAAAGCAUGGGGAGCGAACAGG
Molecule: ribosomal RNA, 254 nt
Filed under: uncultured bacterium
Lineage: Bacteria
Description: partial 16S ribosomal RNA
Rfam family: Bacterial small subunit ribosomal RNA
Source: RNAcentral